UACAGAGGGUGCGAGCGUUAAUCGGAAUUACUGGGCGUAAAGCGCGUGUAGGCGGCUAAGUAAGUCGGGCGUGAAAUCCCACGGCUCAACCGUGGAAGUGCACUCGAAACUGCAUAGCUAGAGUCCUGGAGAGGAAGGUGGAAUGCUUGGUGUAGAGGUGAAAUUCGUAGAUAUCAAGCGGAACACCGGUGGCGAAGGCGGCCUUCUGGACAGUGACUGACGCUGAGACGCGAAAGCGUGGGGGAGCAAACAGG
This 254-nucleotide ribosomal RNA is filed under the name uncultured bacterium. RNAcentral's name for it is "partial 16S ribosomal RNA". It matches the Rfam family "Bacterial small subunit ribosomal RNA", at positions 524 to 776 of the family's 1533-position model. The record is from RNAcentral.